AACAGGAUUAGAUACCCUGGUAGUCCACGCCCUAAACGAUGUCAACUAGUUGUCGGGUCUUAAUUGACUUGGUAACGCAGCUAACGCGUGAAGUUGACCGCCUGGGGAGUACGGUCGCAAGAUUAAAACUCAAAGGAAUUGACGGGGACCCGCACAAGCGGUGGAUGAUGUGGAUUAAUUCGAUGCAACGCGAAAAACCUUACCUACCCUUGACAUGGUCGGAAUCCCUGAGAGAUCAGGGAGUGCUCGAAAGAGAACCGGCGCACAGGUGCUGCAUGGCUGUCGUCAGCUCGUGUCGUGAGAUGUUGGGUUAAGUCCCGCAACGAGCGCAACCCUUGUCAUUAGUUGCUACGAAAGGGCACUCUAAUGAGACUGCCGGUGACAAACCGGAGGAAGGUGGGGAUGACGUCAAGUCCUCAUGGCCCUUAUGGGUAGGGCUUCACACGUCAUACAAUGGUACAUACAGAGGGCUGCCAACCCGCGAGGGGGAGCUAAUCCCAGAAAGUGUAUCGUAGUCCGGAUUGCAGUCUGCAACUCGACUGCAUGAAGUUGGAAUCGCUAGUAAUCGCGGAUCAGCAUGUCGCGGUGAAUACGUUCCCGGGUCUUGUACACACCGCCCGUCACACCAUGGGGGCGGGUUUUACCAGAAGUGGGUAGCCUAACCGCAAGGAGGGCGCUUACCACGGUAGGAUUCGUGACUGGGGUGAAGUCGUAACAAGGUAACC
This 725-nucleotide ribosomal RNA is filed under the name uncultured bacterium. RNAcentral describes it as "bacterial SSU rRNA". It matches the Rfam family "Bacterial small subunit ribosomal RNA", at positions 771 to 1501 of the family's 1533-position model. The record is from RNAcentral.